CGUAGGUCCGAGCGUUGUCCGGAAUUAUUGGGCGUAAAGGGCUCGUAGGCGGUUUGUCGCGUCGGGAGUGAAACACCGGGCUUAACUCGGUGCUUGCUUUCGAUACGGGCAGACUAGAGGUAUGCAGGGAGAAUGGAAUUCCUGGUGUAGCGGUGAAAUGCGCAGAUAUCAGGAGGAACACCGGUGGCGAAGGCGGUUCUCUGGGCAUUACCUGACGCUGAGGAGCGAAAGUGUGGGGAGCGAACAGGAUU
RNAcentral lists this ribosomal RNA (251 nucleotides) under uncultured bacterium. Its description in RNAcentral is "partial 16S ribosomal RNA". It matches the Rfam family "Bacterial small subunit ribosomal RNA", at positions 526 to 779 of the family's 1533-position model. The record is from RNAcentral.